This is a long non-coding RNA of Pongo pygmaeus (Bornean orangutan), 2236 nucleotides long. RefSeq lists it as uncharacterized. The transcript is spliced from 3 exons. Lineage: Eukaryota; Metazoa; Chordata; Mammalia; Primates; Hominidae. The record is from RefSeq and is a predicted model, not a curated record.
GGCUUUGUGACCCGGGAGCUCCUCCUUCACCUCCUCCUGCCAUCCUCAGCACGAGCCAGCUGCGUGAGGGGUGCUGUGUGCUGGGCUGGAGGAUGGAGCCAUGUGCCACUCCCCCCUGAGGCACACUGGGAAGGUGCAAGCGGCGUGUUCUGAGAGUGCAGAGGAUGAAAACUUCUCACCCAGCUUUCUACAUUCAAGUUUACAAGUGCUACUCAGGAGCCACUGAUUAUUUCCAGGGGAAGAUCACCAAACCACCUAAGGCUGAGACUCCCGGGAUAGCGCAGCAUGCCCCGGAGUCCCCCAGCUCAAUUUGCUCACAACUCAGAAAGAAAACAGCCCACACUCCUUGAACUUCAGGCACUGAUGGAGGCAUUUUCCAAAGAACAGUGACAAGGACGGCCAGCACCUCGCCUGCAUUCCUCAGUCUGACUCAAGCUGCUCUUCCACCCUCCUCCCCAGCUGGAGCUGAGGCUGAGGGCAGUUGAGGGCCACCAGGGAGAAGAGCUGGGUCAGGGCCGUGACCUGCCAGCAAGCACUAGGCCAAGCAGAUGUGCCGGGACAGUUGUGGUGACAGAGCUGUGGCCAACUGCUCCCUGGGCCAAGGGUGAAGGAAGCUGUGCUCCCACUGGUGCUAGGGAAGGCUGCUGCAGGGCUGGAGGCCUGGGUGCUGGACUGCUGGGACAGGCUGCCUGCUGCACCCCCAAGCUGCAGUCAGGGCUCACCCUGAGGCCCUGAGGUGGAGAGAGAGCAGCUCUCUUGUACACACCCAUGUGCACAUGCGCACGCGCGCACGCACACACACACACACACACACGGCGCUCUCACUUCAUCCCUGAGUUCUCCCUCCCACACACAAAGCUAGUUCCCAGUUCUCCAGUCCCCCUCCAUCCCUCUCCGCUUCUGUAGUCUCUGCUGGGCUGCACUGGGGAUCUGGUCCCAAUUCCCCUCUCUUCCUUUGCUGCCCCUGUAACAAAGGGCUGGCCAUGUGACAUGAUCUCCUCAGGCUUCAGAGAAGUGAUUUUACCCUGAGCUACACAGGCAGGAAGACCACCAGCCUGCAAGGUGUGUGUUGGGUUGGGAAGAGGGGAAGGGCAGGUAGCAGGGGCCGAGGCCUGGGUUGCCCCACAGGGAAACUCACUAUCCUCAGCAGGGCCCUUCAGCCACUUUUCCAACAAACAGCAAAUCUCCACCGACUGAACUCUGACUGAGGCAAUGGGGGUAUGCCAGGCAACAAGGUGGAGGUUUGCUACCGUGGGAGCAGGGAGAGCGUGGAACACAGAUGCUCUGGGUGUUGAAGAGGAGGCUUCACCCUUAAAUCCACACCAACUGCCCCCUUCACUUCCCCCGGUGAAGAACGAAGGACCCUGUGGGAUUUCUACUUCAAAUCUCUCAUUUAUUCCGACAUCCACUUGGUUAUGACUCCAAGUUAUCAAAGAUGCAAGACAAGAAGUCUAUAGCAGGAGUGGUGAAGUGGAGGUGGAGAAAGACGGCGGAGAGGGUUAUGUUCCUGGCCCCUCCUUCGCUUCCAAUUUAGGGCACCGUUUGAAAAGAGUACAAAUAGUGUCCCUUAGCACAGACUAGACAGCAGAAAAGGACAGUGCAGUUGAGUGGGGGAAGCUUCCUUUUCCACAGGGUGGGGCCCUGCAGGUGCAGCGGGCAGGCAGGCAAUCUCGAGCCUGGUUGGAGACUGUGCCCUAAGCAGCAUGGGCUAUGUGGGGAAGAGCUGGGGCCCACCAUCUCUCCAACGCCCCAAACCCAGAUUCUGAUUUGUGGGGCUAGCAGGGCUUAGCUAGGAAAGCGGUAGGAGGGAGGGGAUUGCACAGGAUGCUUGCACUCAGGGACCCCAUCGAUCGGGGCAAGAAGCAGGUGAUGGUUAACUGGGUCUUGAUUUUUACAAAGGCAGGAUGUAUGAAUGAUGUUAUUUCUGGCAAGGAGGACGUGGCUGCUGUGGUUGAUUGGCUGUGGAAUUCCAGGGGAGCAAGGCACUAGGAAGUGGGGAACGCUGCCAGGCCCAGCAGCUCAUCAGGAGCUUGCACUUGGCCCAGUUAGGGCUGGCCGUGGGACACGCUUGUUGAAGCUGCUGCCGUAAGCUGCCCCUCUGCACCAGGAGACAGAUCCCAUUACCCCACCUACAGCUGCUUCCUGGUACGAGAAGAGUUACCAUUUGAAGUGACUCUGUAGGAGAGUCUGACAAACAUGUUUGCUUUUCACUGACAAUUAAAAUUGUUUUGCUGCU